Molecule: ribosomal RNA, 248 nt
Filed under: uncultured bacterium
Lineage: Bacteria
Description: partial 16S ribosomal RNA
Rfam family: Bacterial small subunit ribosomal RNA
Source: RNAcentral
AGACGUAGGGUGCAAGCGUUGUCCGGAUUUACUGGGCGUAAAGGACGCGUAGGCGGUUCGUUAAGUGUGAAGUGAAAUCUCCAGGGCUCAACCCGGAAACUGCUUCGCAUACUGGCGGACUGGAGGGAUGCAGAGGUAAGUAGAAUUCCUGGUGUAGCGGUGAAAUGCGUUGAUAUCAGGAGGAAUACCGAUGGCGAAGGCAGCUUACUGGGCAUCAUCUGACGCUGAGGCGUGAAAGCGUGGGUAGC